Molecule: ribosomal RNA, 74 nt
Filed under: Apophysomyces variabilis
Lineage: Eukaryota; Fungi; Mucoromycota; Mucoromycetes; Mucorales; Mucoraceae
Description: partial 28S ribosomal RNA
Source: RNAcentral
AAAAAAUCGAUCUUGGCUAGGUGUUUAUAGCCGAAAAAAUUUUUUUUUGGCUUAACCGAAACCAAUAUAAUCAC